RNAcentral lists this ribosomal RNA (498 nucleotides) under uncultured bacterium. Its description in RNAcentral is "partial 16S ribosomal RNA". It matches the Rfam family "Bacterial small subunit ribosomal RNA", at positions 28 to 507 of the family's 1533-position model. The record is from RNAcentral.
GAUGAACGCUGGCGGCGUGCCUAAUACAUGCAAGUCGAGCGAACGGACGAGAAGCUUGCUUUUCUGAUGUUAGCGGCGGACGGGUGAGUAACACGUGGAUAACCUACCUAUAAGACUGGGAUAACUUCGGGAAACCGGAGCUAAUACCGGAUAAUAUUUUUGAACCGCAUGGUUCAAAAGGGAAAGACGGUCUUGCUGUCACUUAUAGAUGGAUCCGCGCUGCGUUAGCUAGUUGGUAAGGUAACGGCUUACCAAGGCAACGAUGCAUAGCCGACCUGAGAGGGUGAUCGGCCACACUGGAACUGAGACACGGUCCAGACUCCUACGGGAGGCAGCAGUAGGGAAUCUUCCGCAAAGGGCGAAAGCCUGACGGAGCAACGCCGCGUGAGUGAUGAAGGUCUUCGGAUCGUAAAACUCUGUUAUUAGGGAAGAACAUAUGUGUAAGUAACUGUGCACAUCUUGACGGUACCUAAUCAGAAAGCCACGGCUAACUACGUG